AUUGAACGCUGGCGGCAUGCCUUACACAUGCAAGUCGGACGGCAGCGCGGGGGCAACCCUGGCGGCGAGUGGCGAACGGGUGAGUAAUACAUCGGAACGUGUCCUGGAGUGGGGGAUAGCCCGGCGAAAGCCGGAUUAAUACCGCAUACGCUCUGUGGAGGAAAGCGGGGGAUCUUCGGACCUCGCGCUCAAGGGGCGGCCGAUGGCAGAUUAGCUUGUUCUGGGGUAAAGGCCUACCAAGGCGACGAUCUGUAGCUGGUCUGAGAGGACGACCAGCC
Molecule: ribosomal RNA, 278 nt
Filed under: Burkholderia sp. Amy-21
Lineage: Bacteria; Pseudomonadati; Pseudomonadota; Betaproteobacteria; Burkholderiales; Burkholderiaceae
Description: partial 16S rRNA
Rfam family: Bacterial small subunit ribosomal RNA
Source: RNAcentral